AUGGCAUGGUGGAAAUUGUGUGUGCUGAAGUGCAAAGGAGGUAUGGAGUUUAGAGACAUCCACUGUUUUAAUUUGGCUCUUCUAGCAAAAUAAGCAUGGAGGUUAAUAGAUAAUCCAUAUUCUUUGUGUGGUACUGUCCUGAAGGCAGAGUAUUUUCCUGAUGGAGAUUCGCUCAAUGCUAAAUUAAAAAUGGGAGCUUCCCUCACUUGGCAAAGUAUUAUGGCAGGGGUGAACACUCUGAAACAUGGGUGCAUCUCGAGAGUGGGUGAUGGACAGAAAAUCAAUAUAUGA
This 291-nucleotide ribosomal RNA is filed under the name Triticum aestivum (bread wheat). RNAcentral describes it as "partial small subunit ribosomal RNA". Lineage: Eukaryota; Viridiplantae; Streptophyta; Magnoliopsida; Poales; Poaceae. The record is from RNAcentral.